CCUACGGGAGGCAGCAGUGGGGAAUAUUGGACAAUGGGCGAAAGCCUGAUCCAGCAAUUCCGCGUGUGUGAAGAAGGCCUUCGGGUUGUAAAGCACUUUAGUGGGGGAAGAAACAGCUUGGCCACACCAAGCCUUGACGGUACCCCAAGAAUGAGCACCGGCUAACUCUGUGCCAGCAGCCGCGGUAAUACAGAGGGUGCAAGCGUUAAUCGGAUUUACUGGGCGUAAAGGGUGCGUAGGUGGCUAUUUAAGUCGGAUGUGAAAGCCCGGGGCUCAACCUCGGAAUUGCAUUCGAUACUGAGUGGCUAGAGUUCGGUAGAGGGCGGCGGAAUUUCCGGUGUAGCGGUGAAAUGCGUAGAUAUCGGAAGGAACAUCAAUGGCGAAGGCAGCCGCCUGGGCCUGGACUGACACUGAGGCACGAAAGCGUGGGUAGCAAACAGGAUUAGAUACCCUGGUAGUCCACGCCGUAAACGAUGCGAACUUGACGUUGGUUCGUUUUACGAAUCGGCGUCGCAGCUAACGCGAUAAGUUCUCCGCCUGGGGAGUACGGCCGCAAGGUUGAAACUCAAAGGAAUUGACGG
This 581-nucleotide ribosomal RNA is filed under the name uncultured bacterium. RNAcentral describes it as "bacterial SSU rRNA". It matches the Rfam family "Bacterial small subunit ribosomal RNA", at positions 338 to 916 of the family's 1533-position model. The record is from RNAcentral.